GAACGCGAAGAACCUUACCAGGUCUUGACAUGUACGGAAUCCUCCAGAGACGGAGGAGUGCCUUCGGGAGCCGUAACACAGGUGCUGCAUGGCUGUCGUCAGCUCGUGUCGUGAGAUGUUGGGUUAAGUCCCGCAACGAGCGCAACCCUUGUCAUUAGCUGCCAUUAUUUAGUUGGGCACUCUAAUGAGACUGCCGGUGACAAGCCGGAGGAAGGUGGGGAUGACGUCAAGUCCUCAUGGCCCUUAUGACCAGGGCUUCACACGUCAUACAAUGGUCGGUACAGAGGGUAGCCAAGCCGCGAGGUGGAGCCAAUCUCACAAAACCGAUCGUAGUCCGGAUUGCACUCUGCAACUCGAGUGCAUGAAGUCGGAAUCGCUAGUAAUCGCAGGUCAGCAUACUGCGGUGAAUACGUUCCCGGGUCUUGUACACACC
Molecule: ribosomal RNA, 433 nt
Filed under: uncultured bacterium
Lineage: Bacteria
Description: bacterial SSU rRNA
Rfam family: Bacterial small subunit ribosomal RNA
Source: RNAcentral